Non-coding RNA from Podarcis lilfordi (Lilford's wall lizard), 74 nucleotides. Lineage: Eukaryota; Metazoa; Chordata; Lepidosauria; Squamata; Lacertidae. The record is from the annotation of a GenBank genome assembly.
GGCAGGGGUAGAGAGAGAAAGAAAGAGAGAAAGGUCUUUCUCUUUCCUCCCUUCCCUCUCUCCCUCCUCCUGCC